Molecule: ribosomal RNA, 702 nt
Filed under: Brucella intermedia
Lineage: Bacteria; Pseudomonadati; Pseudomonadota; Alphaproteobacteria; Hyphomicrobiales; Brucellaceae
Description: bacterial SSU rRNA
Rfam family: Bacterial small subunit ribosomal RNA
Source: RNAcentral
GUACGCGUGGGAACGUACCAUUUGCUACGGAAUAACUCAGGGAAACCUGUGCUAAUACCGUAUGAGCCCGAAAGGGGAAAGAUUUAUCGGCAAAUGAUCGGCCCGCGUUGGAUUAGCUAGUUGGUGGGGUAAAGGCCUACCAAGGCGACGAUCCAUAGCUGGUCUGAGAGGAUGAUCAGCCACACUGGGACUGAGACACGGCCCAGACUCCUACGGGAGGCAGCAGUGGGGAAUAUUGGACAAUGGGCGCAAGCCUGAUCCAGCCAUGCCGCGUGAGUGAUGAAGGCCCUAGGGUUGUAAAGCUCUUUCACCGGUGAAGAUAAUGACGGUAACCGGAGAAGAAGCCCCGGCUAACUUCGUGCCAGCAGCCGCGGUAAUACGAAGGGGGCUAGCGUUGUUCGGAUUUACUGGGCGUAAAGCGCACGUAGGCGGGCUAAUAAGUCAGGGGUGAAAUCCCGGGGCUCAACCCCGGAACUGCCUUUGAUACUGUUAGUCUUGAGUAUGGUAGAGGUGAGUGGAAUUCCGAGUGUAGAGGUGAAAUUCGUAGAUAUUCGGAGGAACACCAGUGGCGAAGGCGGCUCACUGGACCAUUACUGACGCUGAGGUGCGAAAGCGUGNGGAGCAAACAGGAUUAGAUACCCUGGUAGUCCACGCCGUANACGAUGAAAUGUAGCCGUUGGGGAGUUUACUCUUCGGUGGCGC